This is a non-coding RNA of Sorex fumeus (smoky shrew), 441 nucleotides long. The record is from the annotation of a RefSeq genome assembly. Lineage: Eukaryota; Metazoa; Chordata; Mammalia; Eulipotyphla; Soricidae.
AUGACCUGGGCUCUUCUCCUCCUCAGCCUCCUCAGUCAGGACCCAGGGAUCUGGGCCCAGAAUUCCCUGAAUCAGCUUCCCUCAGUGUCUGAGAAUCAGGGACAGACAGUCACCAUCUCCUGUACAGGAACCAGCAAUGACAUUGGGAAAUAUGACUAUGUCUCCUGGUACCAGCAGCAGGACGGCACAGCCCCCAAACAGCUCAUUUAUUAUGUCAACCGUCGGCCAUCAGGGAUCCCUGAUCGCUUCUCUGGCUCCAAGUCUGGCAACACAGCUACCCUGACCAUCUCUGGGCUCAAUCCUGAGGAUGAGGCUUAUUAUUACUGUUGCUCACCCAAUGGUAGCAUAUGCACAGUGGUUCAUGCUCAUAAGGAACUCAACCCCUACUUAAGGCCACCAUAUAACUUAAGACAGAAAACCCAGACUGCUGAGGAGACCUAG